RNAcentral lists this ribosomal RNA (467 nucleotides) under uncultured bacterium. Its description in RNAcentral is "partial 16S ribosomal RNA". It matches the Rfam family "Bacterial small subunit ribosomal RNA", at positions 28 to 506 of the family's 1533-position model. The record is from RNAcentral.
GACGAACGCUGGCGGCGUGCUUAACACAUGCAAGUCGAACGGAAAGGCCCUGCUUUUGUGGGGUGCUCGAGUGGCGAACGGGUGAGUAACACGUGAGUAACCUGCCCUUGACUUUGGGAUAACUUCAGGAAACUGGGGCUAAUACCGGAUAGGAGCUCCUGCUGCAUGGUGGGGGUUGGAAAGUUUCGGCGGUUGGGGAUGGACUCGCGGCUUAUCAGCUUGUUGGUGGGGUAGUGGCUUACCAAGGCUUUGACGGGUAGCCGGCCUGAGAGGGUGACCGGCCACAUUGGGACUGAGAUACGGCCCAGACUCCUACGGGAGGCAGGAGUGGGGAAUAUUGCACAAUGGGCGGAAGCCUGAUGCAGCAACGCCGCGUGCGGGAUGACGGCCUUCGGGUGGUAAACCGCUUUCGCCUGUGACGAAGCGUGAGUGACGGUAAUGGGUAAAGAAGCACCGGCUAACUACGU